CCUGGUUGAUCCUGCCAGUAGUGAUAUGCUUGUCUCAAAGUUUAAGCCAUGCAUGUCUGAGUACAGACCGAUCUAAGGUGAAACCGCGAAUGGCUCAUUAAAUCAGUCAUAAUUCCUUGGAUAGUGACAAACUUCCUCGGAUAACUGUGGAAAAUCCAGAGCUAAUACGUGCAACUGAGCUCCGACCUAGUAGCGUAAAGCGAUUGGGGAAGAGCGCAUUUAUUAGAUUCAAAACUGACACGGCGUAUUUGAUGCGCCGUUUGUCGAAUGUUUGAUGACUCCGGAUAACUUAGCCGAGCGCUACGGUCUUAGUACCGGCGCCGUAUCUUUCAAGUGUCUGCCUUAUCAGCUUUCGAUUGUAGGUUAAACGCCUACAAUGGCUGUAACGGGUAACGGGGAAUCAGGGUUCGAUUCCGGAGAGGGAGCCUGAGAAACGGCUACCACAUCUAAGGAAGGCAGCAGGCACGCAAAUUACCCAAUCCCAGCCCGGGGAGGUAGUGACGAAAAAUAACGAUGCGAGACUCUUCCGAGGCCUCGCAAUCGGAAUGAGUCCAUUUUAAAUCCUUGGACGAGGAUCCAUUGGAGGGCAAGUCUGGUGCCAGCAGCCGCGGUAAUUCCAGCUCCAAUAGCGUAUAUUAAAGUUGCUGCGGUUAAAAAGCUCGUAGYUGGACUUACUAGAUCCAUUUCGCGAGCGAGUCGCUCGUUGAACUAACGUUUCUCGCGUCAGUCACUCGAUGACGUUUGUCGUUGCGUAUGAGGUCGCGAGCCCCUGCCGAUCGUUCAUACGAUUGGUACGGUUCGGCUCGUCCUCGUCGCUUCGCUCCGGAAUCUUGCGGACGGCGAGAUGUUAUCUUCGAGUACAUGCUCGUUCGCGUUUGGAUAAAAUUAAAAUUCUGUCGGCUCGCUCGGAGUGCUUGUAAUGACGAGUGUUCCAGGGUGGCCGACACGUUCACUUUGAAAAAAUUAGAGUGCUUAAAGCGGGGCUUAUCGCGGCCUGAAUGUCUGUGCAUGGAAUGAAGUAACAGGACCUCGAUUCUGUUAUUUUUGUCGGUUUUAUUGAACCGAGGUAAUGAUUAAAAGGGACAGACGGUGGCAUUAGUAUUGCGGCGCUAGAGGUGAAAUUCUUGGACCGCCGCAAGACUAACUACUGCGAAAGCGUUUGCCGAGAAUGUUUUCAUUAAUCAAGAACGAAAGUUAGAGGAUCGAAGGCGAUCAGAUACCGCCCUAGUUCUAACCCUAAACUAUGCUAACUAGCGAUCCGCCGGAGUCAUUCCCACGACCCGGCGGGAAGCCCCAGGGAAACCAAAGUCUUUGAGUUCCGGGGGAAGUAUGGUUGCAAAGCUGAAACUUAAAGGAAUUGACGGAAGGGCACCACCAGGAGUGGAGCCUGCGGCUUAAUUUGACUCAACACGGGAAACCUCACCAGGCCCAGACAUCAUAAAGAUUGACAGGUUGAGGGCUCUUUCUCGAUUUGAUGGGUGGUGGUGCAUGGCCGUUCUUAGUUGGUGGAGUGAUCUGUCUGGUUGAUUCCGAUAACGAACGAGACUCUACCCUACUAACUAGUCGGCGGAUCGUAACCCUGCAGACGGUCAGUUGGUAUAGGUCGGUUGUACGUAGACGAGCGGUCGUGGCGUCGGCGUCUAGCGCGUAAGGAGGGUGCUUUUUACGGUGUGCUGGGGAACCAUUUCGGUGGAACUUUGGCAUUAUCGGGCCAAUCUCCCCGCGUUAGUUCGUCGGCGUUCGAUUUAACGUCGAUGUUUCCGUCCGAUUACCGCUACUGCUAACGGGGGCGUCCGUCGCAAUGUAUCUUCUUAGAGGGAUCAGUGGCGUAUAGCCGCACGAGAAAGAGCAAUAACAGGUCUGUGAUGCCCUUAGAUGUUCUGGGCCGCACGCGCGCUACAAUGUAGAGACCAGCGUGCUUUCCCCCUCCGAAAGGAGCGGGUAACCCGUUGAAAGCCCUACCCGAUUGGGAUUGGGGAUUGCAAAUAUUUCCCAUAAACGAGGAAUUCCCAGUAAGCGCGAAUCAUUAAUUCGCGCUGAUUACGUCCCUGCCCUUUGUACACACCGCCCGUCGCUACUACCGAUUGAAUGAUUCAGUGAGGGCAUCGGACUGGCGCCUUCGGUUUAAUAGACCUUAGGCUGACGGAAAGAUGUCCGAACUUGAUCAUUUAGAGGAAGUAAAAGUCGUAACAAGGUUUCCGUAGGUGAACCUGCGGAAGGAUCAA
RNAcentral lists this ribosomal RNA (2225 nucleotides) under Acanthamunnopsis sp. 4 A20. RNAcentral describes it as "SSU rRNA". It matches the Rfam family "Eukaryotic small subunit ribosomal RNA". Lineage: Eukaryota; Metazoa; Arthropoda; Malacostraca; Isopoda; Munnopsidae. The record is from RNAcentral.